RNAcentral lists this ribosomal RNA (468 nucleotides) under uncultured bacterium. RNAcentral's name for it is "partial 16S ribosomal RNA". It matches the Rfam family "Bacterial small subunit ribosomal RNA", at positions 28 to 507 of the family's 1533-position model. The record is from RNAcentral.
GACGAACGCUGGCGGCGUGCUUAACACAUGCAAGUCGAACGGAAAGGCCCUGCUUUUGUGGGGUUCUCGAGUGGCGAACGGGUGAGUAACACGUGAGUAACCUGCCCUUGACUUUGGGAUAACUUCAGGAAACUGGGGCUAAUACCGGAUAGGAGCUCCUGCUGCAUGGUGGGGGUUGGAAAGUUUCGGCGGUUGGGGAUGGACGCGCGGCUUAUCAGCUUGUUGGUGGGGGAGUGGCUUACCAAGGCUUUGACGGGUAGCCGGCCUGAGAGGGUGACCGGCCACAUUGGGACUGCGAGACGGACCAGACUCCUACGGGAGGCAGUAGUGGGGAAUAUUGCACAAUGGGCGGAAGCCUGAUGCAGCAACGUCGCGUGCGGGAUGACGGUCUUCGGGGUGUAAACCGCUUUCGCCUGUUACGAAGCGGGAGUGACGGUAAUGGGUAAAGAAGCACCGGCUAACUACGUG